Non-coding RNA from Vicugna pacos (alpaca), 1707 nucleotides. Lineage: Eukaryota; Metazoa; Chordata; Mammalia; Artiodactyla; Camelidae. The record is from RefSeq and is a predicted model, not a curated record.
ACUUUUAUUUUCAGUCUUUUGAGGAAUCUCCAUACUGUUUUCCGUAACAGCUGCACCAAACUACAUUCCCACCAACAAUGUAGGAGGGUUCCUUUUACACCCCUUAUUUUUAUUACAAGUAAUCAAUGACAUCACCAUCAAUUGUUCAAACCAUGAUAUAGAAAUAAUAUUCCUUGUAAAGGAGAAUCUAUAUUUUCUCACUAUUUUACAAAUGUCAAUAAGGACAUUUUUAGAUUACUGUGUUAUCUGUAAAAUGCAAUCUAAGUUGUAUUAUUAUUAUUACUGAAACACAGCUUCAAGUUGCCUUCUCCUGCUCAGAUUGUUGUGCUCUAGGCCUGUCCUGUCUAGAAAUUUUAGCAUUAUCAGAACAAUUUUAAUGAUCACUCAUAUCAUAAAUUUGUUUUGAAAUACCUGGUUUGCAGGCUCAGUUUUCCUAUGUAAUGUUUGCCAUUUCCUCAUGAAUUUUCAUCUACCCUGAAGCUAUGCAGUUGUCUCCUACCUAGCAGCAAAAGGUUUCCUGUUCUCAUUCUAGGUCUCUCCUCUCUGUUGCUGGAUCCCCUGGAAAAGACAGUAUCUAAAGAUGACUUCAGUCUCGUUCAGAACGUGUGGCAAAUGAAAGAUCCCCAAUUGUCUUCACUCAAGGUAAAGCUCUGGUCUCCCAAAAAGGAGGUUGGACUAAAUUGAAUCUUCUGAUUCCAAUUUUAUGAACUGCAUUAAAAUCUCUCUAGGGUGCAGGAUUAUGUUUGUGUUGAAGAAUGACUGCAUUAAGGGGAGAAGGGUGCUUCCCCUCCACUUCAUGCCACUUGAAAUCACCUCAAGAGGAUCUCCAAGGAGACAAGUCAGAAAGCGUGAUAUGUUCACCUAGGAGCUGGGAAACAUUAGACUGAUGUCUGACUCAUGCCCAGGAGAGCUGAAGGGUGAGUGGUUGGUCUAUAUUCCGGGAGACAGUCUAUGAAGAGAGAAAAAUACACUGAAAGAAAGCUGCUCUUCCACUGCCAGCAGGGCUUCCCAUGGUCCACAUGUGGGCCACACAGGAGGGAACCAACUGGGACUCAUUUUAAAACAGACCUCUCAAAGAUGGCUUCUUGACAUGGGUUAGGCGACUCAGUGGACCUUGGAGUACACUGGAUGCAUAAACUGAGAGUGGACUGUCAGAAGUGCUGUGUGUACCUGAUAAAGGCAUGACUGCUCUCAGAGAAAAGGAAAACUGUAUGCCUUAUACAUGUGUUUAAUACAAAUUUUAUUGCUACAAAGAAUGUAUACGAGACAGUAUGCAAGUAAUCACAAAGCAUACAAUAUUCUACAUUGUAAAUUCCAUACAGCCAAGGCAUUCUCUGAGAAGCCUUUUUCUAUUGAUUUUUUGAUGAAUUAUCGAAUCCCUAAGCAAAGUAGGAUUGCAAAUCAGUGUAGAUAAACAGUAGAUUCAACAUGAAUGUUGGCUGAUAGUUGUGUACAUUAAUGACUAAAAUGAAAAGUAAAACAACAAAGACAUGUUGGAACAUCAUCAUUAUCCAUAACAUGAGUGACUUCUUUGCUAAUUGGAUAAUAUUUUUCAACUACUGGAAGAAUAGUUCCUUGGUUUUUGUGCUAUUCACAGUGUAAUGGCUAUAAAUGUAAGCUUGGUCUAUAUUAUUAGUAUUUUUUCCAUUAUUUUCUUAAGUCUAUGUGAUCACUCACACAAGAAAUAAAAACCUAAUUUGUAAUAUU